RNAcentral lists this ribosomal RNA (468 nucleotides) under uncultured bacterium. RNAcentral's name for it is "partial 16S ribosomal RNA". It matches the Rfam family "Bacterial small subunit ribosomal RNA", at positions 28 to 507 of the family's 1533-position model. The record is from RNAcentral.
GACGAACGCUGGCGGCGUGCUUAACACAUGCAAGUCGAACGGAAAGGCCCUGCUUUUGUGGGGUGCUCGAGUGGCGAACGGGUGAGUAACACGUGAGUAACCUUCCCUUGACUUUGGGAUAACUUCAGGAAACUGGGGCUAAUACCGGAUAGGAGCUCCUGCUGCAUGGUGGUGGUUGGAAAGUUUCGGCGGUUGGGGAUGGACUCGCGGCUUAUCAGCUUGUUGGUGGGGUAGUGGCUUACCAAGGCUUUGACGGGUAGCCGGCCUGAGAGGGUGACCGGCCACAUUGGGACUGAGAUACGGCCCAGAAUCCUACGGGAGGCAGCAGUGGGGAAUAUUGCACAAUGGGCGGAAGCCUGAUGCAGCAACGCCGCGUGCGGGAUGACGGCCUUCGGGUUGUAAACCGCUUUCGCCUGUGACGAAGCGUGAGUGACGGUAAUGGGUAAAGAAGCACCGGCUAACUACGUG